UCGAUCAACUAAUUAUCUCGAAAUAUUGUCUUCGGGAUAUCCAAGUUAAACUGUAAGUUCACUUUAUCAUAAGUAAACUUUAAAUCGUAUUAAAGAUUAACAAAUAUGUAAAAACACAUAACAUUCAAUCUAUUACAAUGCUCAAAUUUCAAUAGACACGACGCACUUGUCGUAUUUUCAAAACGAAAGUAGAUUUCGUGACGUGUCUUCGUACGACUUAUCAAAAGGCGUGACAUCAAAUCCUCAUGCUGAGAAAUGAAUCGCCACCAAAUCUUCACAAAGUUCGUCCAAAAUAUUUGCAAAAACUGGACGAAAUGCAACCGUGAGAUCUCCGUAUUCUGAGGGACUCUCAACAACAUGACAUGUACGAAGAGAAAAAUCAAAGGUAAGUAAAGGGAUAUCAAAGGACAGAGCAGAUUAACCACAAGAUCUGGUUGUAACAGAACAGUUUUCAGCAGGAAGAGGUCCUCUUGUUUCAACUUUGUUUAACAAUGAUUGGGGCCUAUCCCUGCGCCUUGCUGACUUCCGCCCCCUGAAUUCGACACGGGAAAGUUUCCCUGAUUUGAGGAUUGGAAGCGACCAUUCUGAUAUUGUCUAUUUUGCCUUGUCAGAGCCUGAUUUCUGUAUAGGAGAAGAGGUACUGGACCGUUGAUACUCAUCACAAGUGAUGUCAUCAUUCAGAUUGCAGGACCUGCACCCAUUCUCCUCAGAAGCUUCAAAUUGGCUGUUAUUAUUUGACAUUUUGACUUUUGUUAUUGGCUAUUGCAACACAAAUUUAUGUGUUUAUUUUUCAAUGUGCUUGUCGUUGUCAAUAGACUU
This is a long non-coding RNA of Saccostrea cuccullata (small rock oyster), 819 nucleotides long. RefSeq lists it as uncharacterized. The transcript has 5 exons. The record is from RefSeq and is a predicted model, not a curated record. NCBI's taxonomy places the organism in Eukaryota, Metazoa, Mollusca, Bivalvia, Ostreida, Ostreidae.